RNAcentral lists this long non-coding RNA (822 nucleotides) under Marmota monax (woodchuck). The record is from RNAcentral. Lineage: Eukaryota; Metazoa; Chordata; Mammalia; Rodentia; Sciuridae.
UGAGAAUCCAACAAAUUGGUCUUGAGUGUCAGAUGUACACUUUUUAAGCCAUCAGUAUCUAAAUGUAUAGUUGGAGUACAUUUAAUCAAUAAAUAAAGUGAUGAGAGUCUAUUACAGGGCACCAAAAGGACUGGCCUGAGAACAAAUCAGUAUCAUCUUCUAAUCUGUAUCUUCUAAUCUCAAUGUUCCUUCUUUAUAAUUUAUCUCUACUGACAUUUUUGAUUUCUUUUCCUUCUUAGAUGUACAGGUCUUGAAAGAAUUUUAGCCACAUCGGCUGCAGUUUCUCACAACACCUGUGUUCAAGUACACUCUGUUGAUCAGAUCUUCAGGGGAAGGACCAUUACAGCCUGCUCAGAUCUCUCAAGCCCUACUUGGCAAACAGGGUUCUUCAACUGGUCUUUUGAAGCAAGUUGUACCUACUGUCUUGACCACUGUGUGACCUUCUCCCUUCCUUCUGAUUCCUGUGGGUCUAUCCUGCUGAGCUGAGAGCUGGACCAGGAGCUACUGUCCUGUCCUCUCUUCUUUUCAACCUACAGGCAGUUCAGACUUCCAGCUUUUUCACAAGCCUCCUUUCUGCCACUGAGCCAUAAGCCCACUCCAUUUGUCAAUAUUCCAAUAGAGUCUCACUUGCACUGUGUUCUGUGAUUCUUUAUUAUAAGCAAGACUGGGCUAUUACUCCAGUACCCUUCAGUUUCUGUGUCAUUGCAAAUCAUAGGCAGCAACAAACUGUAGAAGUAGUACUUUGAGAGAUGAGCUUGUGAGUUUGAUGUUCAAGUGACAUAAUUACACUGUUUUUCCAGAGGUGGUUCCUCCCCUUUGUUC